This 465-nucleotide ribosomal RNA is filed under the name uncultured bacterium. RNAcentral describes it as "partial 16S ribosomal RNA". It matches the Rfam family "Bacterial small subunit ribosomal RNA", at positions 28 to 507 of the family's 1533-position model. The record is from RNAcentral.
GACGAACGCUGGCGGCGUGCUUAACACAUGCAAGUCGAACGGUAAGGCUCCAGCUUGCUGGGGUACACGAGUGGCGAACGGGUGAGUAACACGUGGGUGACCUGCCCUGCACUUCGGGAUAAGCCUGGGAAACUGGGUCUAAUACCGGAUAGGACCGCACCGUGAGGGUGUGGUGGAAAGUUUUUUCGGUGUGGGAUGGGCCCGCGGCCUAUCAGCUUGUUGGUGGGGUAAUGGCCUACCAAGGCGGCGACGGGUAGCCGGCCUGAGAGGGUGGACGGCCACAUUGGGACUGAGACACGGCCCAGACUCCUACGGGAGGCAGCAGUGGGGAAUAUUGCACAAUGGGCGGAAGCCUGAUGCAGCGACGCCGCGUGGGGGAUGACGGCCUUCGGGUUGUAAACUCCUUUCACCAUCGACGAAGGGUUUCUGGCGGUAGAUGGAGAAGAAGCACCGGCUAACUACGUG